AUUGAACGCUGGCGGCAUGCCUUACACAUGCAAAGUCGAACGGGUAACGCGGGGGCGAACCCUGGCGACGAGUGGCGAACGGGUGAGUAAUACAUCGGAACGUACCCAGUAGUGGGGGAGUAGCUCGGCGAAAGCCGGAUUAAUACCGCAUACGACCUAUGGGUGAAAGCGGGGGAUCGCAAGACCUCGCGCUAUUGGAGCGGCCGAUGUCGGAUUAGCUAGUUGGUGAGGUAAAGGCUCACCAAGGCUACGAUCCGUAGCUGGUCUGAGAGGACGACCAGCCACACUGGGACUGAGACACGGCCCAGACUCCUACGGGAGGCAGCAGUGGGGAAUUUUGGACAAUGGGCGCAAGCCUGAUCCAGCCAUGCCGCGUGUGUGAGGAAGGCC
RNAcentral lists this ribosomal RNA (390 nucleotides) under uncultured bacterium. RNAcentral describes it as "bacterial SSU rRNA". It matches the Rfam family "Bacterial small subunit ribosomal RNA", at positions 29 to 416 of the family's 1533-position model. The record is from RNAcentral.